This 73-nucleotide transfer RNA is filed under the name uncultured Synechococcus sp. Its description in RNAcentral is "tRNA-Ile". The stretch from base 15 to 73 matches the Rfam family "tRNA", at positions 1 to 57 of the family's 71-position model. Rfam says of the family: Transfer RNA (tRNA) molecules are approximately 80 nucleotides in length. Their secondary structure includes four short double-helical elements and three loops (D, anti-codon, and T loops). The record is from RNAcentral. Lineage: Bacteria; Bacillati; Cyanobacteriota; Cyanophyceae; Synechococcales; Synechococcaceae.
GCCCAUUCGGUGUUGGGGGUUUAGCUCAGUUGGUAGAGCGCCUGCUUUGCAAGCAGGAUGUCAGGAGUUCGAG